RNAcentral lists this transfer RNA (74 nucleotides) under Pseudoflavonifractor phocaeensis. RNAcentral's name for it is "tRNA-Gln". It matches the Rfam family "tRNA". Rfam says of the family: Transfer RNA (tRNA) molecules are approximately 80 nucleotides in length. Their secondary structure includes four short double-helical elements and three loops (D, anti-codon, and T loops). Lineage: Bacteria; Bacillati; Bacillota; Clostridia; Eubacteriales; Oscillospiraceae. The record is from RNAcentral.
AGCGGCGUCGUCUAUCGGUAGGGCGCCCGGCUCUGACCCGGGAGAGGUUGGUUCGAUUCCAGCCGCCGCUGCCA